GAGGGUACAGCUCAGUGAUUAGAGUAGAUGCUUAGCAUGCACAAGGUCCUGGGUUCAAUCCCCAGUACCUCUA
Molecule: transfer RNA, 73 nt
Filed under: Camelus ferus (Wild Bactrian camel)
Lineage: Eukaryota; Metazoa; Chordata; Mammalia; Artiodactyla; Camelidae
Rfam family: tRNA
About the family: Transfer RNA (tRNA) molecules are approximately 80 nucleotides in length. Their secondary structure includes four short double-helical elements and three loops (D, anti-codon, and T loops).
Source: Rfam by way of RNAcentral